This 467-nucleotide ribosomal RNA is filed under the name uncultured bacterium. Its description in RNAcentral is "partial 16S ribosomal RNA". It matches the Rfam family "Bacterial small subunit ribosomal RNA", at positions 28 to 507 of the family's 1533-position model. The record is from RNAcentral.
GACGAACGCUGGCGGCGUGCUUAACACAUGCAAGUCGAACGGAAAGGCCUCUUUCGGGGGGUACUCGAGUGGCGAACGGGUGAGUAACACGUGAGUAACCUGCCCUUGACUUUGGGAUAACUUCAGGAAACUGGGGCUAAUACCGGAUAGGAGCUCCUGCUGCAUGGUGGGGGUUGGAAAGUUUCGGCGGUUGGGGAUGGACUCGCGGCUUAUCAGCUUGUUGGUGGGGUAGUGGCUUACCAAGGCCUUGACGGGUAGCCGGCCUGAGAGGGUGACCGGCCACAUUGGGACUGAGAUACGGCACAGGCUCCUACGGGAGGCAGCAGUGGGGAAGAUUGCACAAUGGGUGGAAGCCUGAUGCAGCAACGCCGUGUGCGGGAUGACGGCCUUCGGGUUGUAAACCGCUUUCGCUCAUGACGAAGCUUUGUGUGACGGUAGUGGGUAAAGAAGCACCGGCUAACUACGUG